This 274-nucleotide ribosomal RNA is filed under the name uncultured bacterium. RNAcentral's name for it is "partial 16S ribosomal RNA". It matches the Rfam family "Bacterial small subunit ribosomal RNA", at positions 523 to 796 of the family's 1533-position model. The record is from RNAcentral.
AUACGGAGGGUUCAAGCGUUAUCCGGAAUCAUUGGGUUUAAAGGGUCCGCAGGCGGUCAAUUAAGUCAGAGGUGAAAGCCCAUCGCUCAACGAUGGAACUGCCUUUGAUACUGGUUGACUUGAGUUAUACGGAAGUAGAUAGAAUAAGUAGUGUAGCGGUGAAAUGCAUAGAUAUUACUUAGAAUACCGAUUGCGAAGGCAGUCUACUACGUAUAUACUGACGCUGAGGGACGAAAGCGUGGGGAGCGAACAGGAUUAGAAACCCUAGUAGUCC